UUUAUUUAGUUUAAGGAAAGCAAAGUACAUGGAUGUGAACAACAAGAUCUCUUGUAUAUAUAUCCCAAAAGAUCAUAUUAUUCGAAUUGAAGCAAACCUACAUGCACUCACACAAUUGAGAUGCUAUGGUGCCCAUAACAACUUUUUAUUUUAGUACUACACUUAACCAGAUUCAUUAGGAUUUCUCCUAUAUUGAGGGACUCUAAGAAAAUCAAGAUCGUUAUUCCCUAUACCAUCAUCAAUAAUACAGCCAUGGAAAGGAGCGAUGCUAGCCUCCGACCAUUCCUUAUUUCCUGAAAAUUUCAAAUCUGAAUACUUGUUCAUAAAGGCAUAUAUUAAUUAAUAUAAGAAUUAUAAAUAGAAUUCAACAUAACAUGGCCUGAUGAAUUACCAGCACAAAUAGUUUCCAUAUUCUUCGAAUCAGAAAAGAUCUUUGCAAGCUUCUGUACUAGUAGUUAAGUAGCUUCAGCGAGUCCUUUGAUUGUGGUUGCU
This 492-nucleotide long non-coding RNA is filed under the name Citrus maxima (pomelo). Its description in RNAcentral is "long non-coding RNA (CMAX_LNC003865)". The record is from RNAcentral. Lineage: Eukaryota; Viridiplantae; Streptophyta; Magnoliopsida; Sapindales; Rutaceae.